RNAcentral lists this ribosomal RNA (761 nucleotides) under Prevotella melaninogenica. RNAcentral describes it as "bacterial SSU rRNA". It matches the Rfam family "Bacterial small subunit ribosomal RNA", at positions 28 to 776 of the family's 1533-position model. Lineage: Bacteria; Pseudomonadati; Bacteroidota; Bacteroidia; Bacteroidales; Prevotellaceae. The record is from RNAcentral.
GAUGAACGCUAGCUACAGGCUUAACACAUGCAAGUCGAGGGGAAACGGCAUUUAGUGCUUGCACUGAAUGGACGUCGACCGGCGCACGGGUGAGUAACGCGUAUCCAACCUUCCCAUUACUGUGGGAUAACCUGCCGAAAGGCAGACUAAUACCGCAUAGUCUUCGAUGACGGCAUCAGAUUUGAAGUAAAGAUUUAUCGGUAAUGGAUGGGGAUGCGUCUGAUUAGCUUGUUGGCGGGGUAACGGCCCACCAAGGCAACGAUCAGUAGGGGUUCUGAGAGGAAGGUCCCCCACAUUGGAACUGAGAUACGGUCCAAACUCCUACGGGAGGCAGCAGUGAGGAAUAUUGGUCAAUGGGCGCGAGCCUGAACCAGCCAAGUAGCGUGCAGGAUGACGGCCCUAUGGGUUGUAAACUGCUUUUGUAUGGGGAUAAAGUCAAUCACGUGUGAUUGUUUGCAGGUACCAUACGAAUAAGGACCGGCUAAUUCCGUGCCAGCAGCCGCGGUAAUACGGAAGGUCCGGGCGUUAUCCGGAUUUAUUGGGUUUAAAGGGAGCGUAGGCCGGAGAUUAAGUGUGUUGUGAAAUGUAGACGCUCAACGUCUGACUUGCAGCGCAUACUGGUUUCCUUGAGUACGCACAACGUUGGCGGAAUUCGUCGUGUAGCGGUGAAAUGCUUAGAUAUGACGAAGAACUCCGAUUGCGAAGGCAGCUGACGGGAGCGCAACUGACGCUUAAGCUCGAAGGUGCGGGUAUCGAACAGG